This 206-nucleotide non-coding RNA is filed under the name Enterococcus hirae. RNAcentral's name for it is "T-box sequence". It matches the Rfam family "T-box leader". Rfam says of the family: Uncharged tRNA acts as the effector for transcription antitermination of genes in the T-box leader family. T-boxes are found upstream of many aminoacyl-tRNA synthetase genes and some amino acid biosynthetic genes usually in Gram-positive bacteria. The anticodon of a specific tRNA base pairs to a specifier sequence within the T-box motif, and the NCCA acceptor tail of the tRNA base pairs to a conserved bulge in the T-box antiterminator hairpin. The record is from RNAcentral. Lineage: Bacteria; Bacillati; Bacillota; Bacilli; Lactobacillales; Enterococcaceae.
UAACAGGCAAUGAUCAAAACGCAGUAGUUAUUAAAGCCAAUGUUUCAGAGAGCUAGUGGUUGCUGAGAACUAGUACAAGCUUUAAGACGAAUUACAUUUUAGGAGCCUUUGGCAUUGAUUUGUCACGUGACAGCGUUAAAUGUUUGAGUGAUAUGUUUUGAAUGAAACAUAUAAAAUGGGUGGUACCGCGAGAUUUCGUCCCUUGG